GAUGAACGCUGACAGCAUGCUUAACACAUGCAAGUCGAUGGGGCAGUGGUGCUUGCACCAUGGUAACCAUGGCGGACGGGUGAGUAACGCGUAAGGAACUUACCUGCGGGACCGGGAUAACAGCAGGAAACUGCUGACAAGACCGGAUAAGGUAAUUAAGCUGCAUAGCUUAGUGAUGAAAGGAGACGCCUGCGGAGUGCCUUGCGUCCUAUUAGCUAGUUGGAGGGGUAACGGCCCACCAAGGCGAAGAUAGGUAGCCGGCCUGAGAGGGUGGACGGCCACGAGGGGACUGAGAGGCGGCCCUUACGCCUACGGGAGGCAGCGGUGAGGAAUAAUGGACAAUGGGGGCAACCCUGAUCCAGCAAUUCUGUGUGCACGAAGACGGUUUUCGGAUUGAAAAGUUCUGUCAGCAGGGAAGAAGGAAGUGACGGUACCUGCAGAAGAAGCGACGGCUAAAUACGUG
Molecule: ribosomal RNA, 463 nt
Filed under: uncultured bacterium
Lineage: Bacteria
Description: partial 16S ribosomal RNA
Rfam family: Bacterial small subunit ribosomal RNA
Source: RNAcentral